Molecule: non-coding RNA, 1500 nt
Organism: Thunnus maccoyii (southern bluefin tuna)
Lineage: Eukaryota; Metazoa; Chordata; Actinopteri; Scombriformes; Scombridae
Source: the annotation of a RefSeq genome assembly
UUUUCAUAAUGAAUUCAAGAACAAUCCACGCUUCACACUGGAUACUAAAAGUGGGUUCAGGUUUGAACAUCCAAGCUUUGGUCCAUCAGUCGGCAUCUGAGAGCAUCCAGCCAGGAGGCUCUGUGACUCUGAACUGUACAGUACACACUGGGACCUGUGAUGACGGAGAACACAGUGUUUACUGGUUCAAAAACUCUCAAGAAUCUCAUCCAGGAAUCAUUUACACACAUGGAGGCAGGAAUGAUCAGUGUGAGAGGAACAGCAACACACAAACACACACCUGUGUCUACAACUUGCCAAUGACGAGUCUGAAUCUUUCUCAUGCUGGGACCUACUACUGUGCUGUCGCCUCAUGUGGACAGAUACUGUUUGGAAACGGGACCAAGCUGGACGUUGAGCAUGAGGUGGAUUCUCUUGUCUUGGUGUAUUUCUUGAGUGGAGCUUUGACAUUCACCGCCAUCCUGGUUGUUUUACUGGCUUUCUCAGUGUGUGUGAUCAACAAAAAAAACAGCUGCCAGUGUAAAGAGUCUCAGGCGAGAUUUUCAGCUCCCUCCACAUCAGAUGCAGAGGGUCACCAAAAUGAAGAAAACAUCCAUUACGCAGCAUUAAGGAAGCACAAGGUCAACAGAUCUAGAAGACAGAGGAACAACACCGAGACUGAAUGCGUGUACUCAAGAGUAAAGCAGUAGAACUGUACAUGUUUUAUAUUUGUUGCAGUGUAAUAAGAUAUGCCUUUAUUAGUGUUAUCAGUAUAUUUUUCUUGUGACUAUAGAAAGGAGCAGCCAUAAUUCCCAGAGAUGAGUUGAUUCAACCAGUUAUUUGAGAAUGUAUGUUGGUGAUGGAUUGAAGUAAUAAUAUAUUUAUGUCAAAAUAAAAAGUUUUUAAUGUUCUAUCCGCAACCCAAGUCAAAUUGUAGCAAAUCAGCAAGCUAAGGACAUUUUUACAAGAUGGGCUUCAGAACAAGUGUAUGUGAGACAGAACUGCAUGAAUGUACAUUGGCUGAUCUCAAGCAAAAUUAUGUGACAGGCUGGAUUUACUGUUGUUAAUGUUAAAUUAUGCUAUUUAUAAUUUUUUUCACUGGGGCAGAAAAAGGUUGAAGUUGAAACAAAUCAACACAGAAUGGAAAAGACAGUAAAAGUUUUGCUUAUUUCUCUUGAGAGAUAUCUGUUUGAGCUGUUUUGUCUGCGCUCCUCUUAGUAGUUUACUGUGGGCGGGGCUUGGUGGGAAUAAGGUGAUGUCACAUAUUUCUGUCCCAAUCAGACUUUUGCUAAAUUUGAAUCAGAAUCUGACGUCAGUUGUUGGGUUGUUGGGUUAUUUUGCCAAGCCACUGUCAAUCACAUCUGUGCAAACCACACCCACACAGUCCUGAUGAAGCAGAUUAGCUGUGUUUUGAAUGUUUAACUCUUAAUAAAGAAAAAGCAAGAACGUUAUCUUUUUAACUUUAACUUGAAUGAUUUUUUUAAAGAAGUGUAAUAACUUGCACAAAUUCUGUGAAGUAGU